RNAcentral lists this ribosomal RNA (301 nucleotides) under uncultured soil bacterium. RNAcentral describes it as "bacterial SSU rRNA". It matches the Rfam family "Bacterial small subunit ribosomal RNA", at positions 26 to 334 of the family's 1533-position model. The record is from RNAcentral.
AGAUUGAACGCUGGCGGCAUGCCUUACACAUGCAAGUCGAACGGUAGAGUAGCAAUACUUGAGAGUGGCGAACGGGUGAGUAAUAUAUCGGAACGUGCCCAGUCGUGGGGGAUAACGUAGAGAAAUUUACGCUAAUACCGCAUACGAUCUAAGGAUGAAAGCGGGGGAUCGCAAGACCUCGCGCGAUUGGAGCGGCUGAUAUCAGAUUAGGUUGUUGGUGAGGUAAAAGCUCACCAAGCCGACGAUCUGUAGCUGGUUGAGAGAACGACCAGCCACACGUGGGACUGAGACCACGGCCCAG